GGAAACAAGCAAGCAAAAAAAGGAAGAAGGAAAGACAAAAGGAAGGAGCAGAAAGACAGUUGGCCCUCGUGCUUUUGCAGGCCUCAAUACAGGUCUGCCAUCUCCUUUCCUCCCCCAACCGAGAGAUGUUUCUUUGUUUUUGUUUUUCAAUCUCUCUGUCUGUAUCUGUAUGCAUGGACACUGAUUGAGGUAGAAGUAAAGGCAGGGAGUGGGCAAGUGCCUUUUCACGAAUGAAUGAAUGAAUGAAUGAA
RNAcentral lists this non-coding RNA (251 nucleotides) under Chromera velia. Lineage: Eukaryota; Chromeraceae. The record is from RNAcentral.